Long non-coding RNA from Myotis daubentonii (Daubenton's bat), 689 nucleotides. RefSeq lists it as uncharacterized. Lineage: Eukaryota; Metazoa; Chordata; Mammalia; Chiroptera; Vespertilionidae. The record is from RefSeq and is a predicted model, not a curated record.
ACGCCCUGGGCUGCGGUGCCCCCACCUCAGUUACAACCCCUCUCCCGGCCCCUCCUGACGGUUGGUCUGCAGUGAGAGCUGCACAAGGACACAAGUUCAGCUCAACUUCUCUUCUCUCCCCACUGGGGCUGAGAUGGGAGGACUCUGUGGCUGGAACCAGGAGCUAUUUCUUGGCAGCGCAGUCACGCUGAUGAUGUUCCUGCUGCUGUGAAGCGCGGCCCCUCUCUGGGUCUCCCUCAUGUGGCUGAGGGGCUAAACCUGGACAAUCAGAAGGCAAUGUUUGCACCAUAGUGUCCAGAACUUCCUCUCUCGGACUGAGCCUGGAGUCCAUUGCAGUUUCGAUUGUGAAGCCGACUCUAUUGUGGGGGCAUCUGGGCAAUGACCCAAACGGCUGAGGUGACCCUUCCCAUGAUCUGCACACAAAAGCAGCUGCACUGAGACUACACCAGGUACAUGAGCAUCGACUGAGAAUCAUGUACUUCCAGUUCCAUAGACUUUGCAAGAAGCGGCUUUCCACCUCAUCUGUUUUCACCACUUGCUGGCAGAUGAGAAGUUGAGCCCUGGGUUGGGAAAGUGCGUGUGUAAGUCCUGCUGGGGGCUGAGAGCAGCGGGAGGAGAACUCCAUCUAUUUGGGCUUUCGCUGCUGUGCGGGACGCAGGUUGUGGGGCCUUAGGGAAAUAAAAGCUACA